RNAcentral lists this ribosomal RNA (433 nucleotides) under uncultured bacterium. Its description in RNAcentral is "partial 16S ribosomal RNA". It matches the Rfam family "Bacterial small subunit ribosomal RNA", at positions 29 to 507 of the family's 1533-position model. The record is from RNAcentral.
AACGAACGCUGGCGGCAGGCCUAACACAUGCAAGUCGAGCGAGGACUUCGGUCCUAGCGGCGGACGGGUGAGUAACGCGUGGGAACGUGCCCUUUGCUUCGGAAUAGCCCUGGGAAACUGGGAGUAAUACCGGAUGAGCCCUUUGGGGGAAAGAUUUAUCGGCGAAGGAUCGGCCCGCGUUGGAUUAAGUAGUUGUUGGGGUAAUGGCCUACCAAGCCGACGAUCCAUAGCUGGUUUGAGAGGAUGAUCAGCCACACUGGGACUGAGACACGGCCCAGACUCCUACGGGAGGCAGCAGUGGGGAAUCUUAGACAAUGGGGGAAACCCUGAUCUAGCCAUGCCGCGUGAGCGAUGAAGGCCUUAGGGUUGUAAAGCUCUUUCAGCUGGGAAGAUAAUGACGGUACCAGCAGAAGAAGCCCCGGCUAACUCCGUG